CCUACGGGAGGCAGCAGUGGGGAAUUUUGGACAAUGGGCGAAAGCCUGAUCCAGCCAUGCCGCGUGAGUGACGAAGGCCCUAAGGGUUGUAAAGCUCUUUUGCCGGGGACGAUAAUGACGGUACCCGGAGAAUAAGUACCGGCUAACUUCGUGCCAGCAGCCGCGGUAAU
RNAcentral lists this ribosomal RNA (170 nucleotides) under uncultured alpha proteobacterium GT25-2. RNAcentral describes it as "partial 16S ribosomal RNA". It matches the Rfam family "Bacterial small subunit ribosomal RNA", at positions 338 to 524 of the family's 1533-position model. The record is from RNAcentral. Lineage: Bacteria; Pseudomonadati; Pseudomonadota; Alphaproteobacteria.